RNAcentral lists this ribosomal RNA (511 nucleotides) under Desulfovibrio sp. RNAcentral describes it as "bacterial SSU rRNA". It matches the Rfam family "Bacterial small subunit ribosomal RNA", at positions 936 to 1443 of the family's 1533-position model. The record is from RNAcentral. Lineage: Bacteria; Pseudomonadati; Thermodesulfobacteriota; Desulfovibrionia; Desulfovibrionales; Desulfovibrionaceae.
AGUAUGUGCUUUAAUUCGUUGCAACGUGAAGAACAUCACCUCGGCUGGCCAUCAUGAGAACCCUCCUUAAUCGGAGGGGUCCCUCUCGGAGAAUUCAUUGACAGGUGCUGCAUGGUUGUCCUCAGCUCCAGCCGUGAGGUGUUGGAAUAAGUUCCUCAACGAGCGCAACCCCUAUUGUCAGGGGCCAUCACAUAAUGCAGGGCACUCCAGUGAGACUUCCCGGGUCAACCGGGAGGAAGGUGCGGACGCCGUCAAGUCAUCAUGGCCCUUACGCCUAGGGCUACUCACGUCCUACAAUGGCCCAUACAAAGGGCACAGAAACCGGGAGGUCGAGCCAAUCCCAGAAAAUGCAUCCCAGUCCGGAUCGGAUUUUUCAACUCGACUCCGAGAAGUUCGAAUCGUUCGUAAUCCCCGAUCAGCAUCCCGGGGUGAAUACGUUCCCGGGCCUUGUACACCCCGCCCGUCACACCCCGAAAGCUGGUUCUUCCCGACAACGGCAGGACUAACCCUU